RNAcentral lists this transfer RNA (74 nucleotides) under Microcaldota archaeon. RNAcentral's name for it is "tRNA-Met". It matches the Rfam family "tRNA". From Rfam's summary of the family: Transfer RNA (tRNA) molecules are approximately 80 nucleotides in length. Their secondary structure includes four short double-helical elements and three loops (D, anti-codon, and T loops). Lineage: Archaea; Nanobdellati; Microcaldota. The record is from RNAcentral.
GCCAAGGUAGCUCAGCUGGUUAGAGUGCUCGACUCAUAAUCGAGAGGUCGGGGAUUCAACUUCCCCCCUUGGCA